CGAUAAUUCACUAAACACCUAAAAUUAUCAGAUUUGCAAUUCUCAUAUUUGCUAAACAUAAGAACAAACACCACUUGGUCAGUAAUAUUAGAUGUCUGGUUUCAAAUCAGACAUUUCAGACUAUGCAAAUCAUAGAAUUUAUAUUAGAUCAACGUUUACCAAAUACUGAAUGCAAACUCACAGGUGGGGGCUGGACAGUGACAUGCCCAUUCCCAUAUGAUGUAUCCAAUGUCAGUGGGGCCUCUUUGGCAGUACAGGGUCAUCUGCUGCCCACCAUUUAUCAGAUAUGCCUCACCCACAGCAUGGCAAGUGUGGGCACAAGGAGAUAAUAAACCUUCCUAUACUUAGAUGGGGAUCAUAUGGAUCCCGCAUUUUUUUUUUUUUUUUUUUGAAAAGGGUGUCUAACAAGACAUUAACCCUUGUGCUACUUACAUCUUUUUGUAAUUCAGUGGGCAAAAAGUCUGCACAUUUCAAAUUCAGGUCUGAGUUUAUAGCAGCAUUCAGUCAGACUGAAAUCUAGACACAAGCCUACCUCCUUCAGAGCCAGAAUUGUACAAUUCAGACAUUGAUCAAUUUUGUGUUUUAUGUACAGAUUUUUAGUCUGAAUGCCCCUAUGUACAGAAAUGGGUUGUUCUCACCCAUUUAAAACUGGGGUAUUUGGACUAGAGUGAAAAAAAACUGUUAGAGAUACGCAGAAAUAAUAUAUAUCUGACAUUCUCCAAUCUUCACCCUAAUAACCGCAAACAGCCAGCACUAGAGACCCUCAAAUAAGUCUCCGCAAUAAACCUUUCUCAAAGUACUAAAUGCAAGCAGCCCCUCACUUUGCAUUACUUGCUAGGAUCUUUCAGAAAAUGUUUGAAAUCCAGACUGUAAGAUCUUUUUUUCUUUCAUCUGUAAAAAUACUUUUCUCAAACUUUUUUUCAGCUAAUGUUUGAGCUGUUUCAGAAGCUGCGGCAAGAUGCCAUUACGCUCUCAUUCAUGUCAUUAGGACAAUUCACUUUGUAGCAUGGAAAUAUUGCUGCAUCUAUUAUUCCAUAGGGUUUGUUCUUAUCAUAAAAGAUAAUCGAUGAAUAAUACAGUCGUGUUUCUCGGGAAGAGAUGCACAUAUCACGUCCCACAGAUUUCUGCAUAUAUGUUUCCCAAAGAGGUUGACAUCCCAUCAAGAAAGCAGAUGCCCGUCUCUUGUUAGUGUCCAUAAUGCUUUGAGCCAGUUAUUCACAGGGCAAAUCUACUCUUUGAAUGGAUGGCCUCCAGCACUUCAUACAACUCCUGGUGUUUGGGACUGCACAAGCUGCAGCGUACCACUAUACAGUGGAGCAAAGGCUAAGUGAGUCUGGAUAAAAAGUGAUUUCCACUUUAUUUUAUUCUUCAAACCUUCAACAGCAACUUGUAGUUUUCUUCACUCAACCUGACAGAGGCACUUCCUCCGAAUAACAGAGUAAAACUAUUUCAAUCAGAUGGUCUCAUAGACGCCAUUUUACUGUCGCAGAGCAGCAUUUUUCUGCGCAUGCGCACAAACCCCCCCAAUGCUUUCCUUGUCUUAUGGAAAGCAUUUGAUUGGCUGAAAUUAUCCAUCUCUAUGAUCUCAACCAAGUAGGUGGGACAGCAGUGCAGAGACACCUUUAUAUUCCCAACGCUAUAGAGUUCCUUUAAGGGUGAUCACCAGGUUUACCCACUCCUGAUGGGAGAAGAGCUGCCUCUUCUGCAGUGUCACAGCAUGGGACACUCUAACUUAAAGCUCUAAACCUGUAAUUAUGUUUUAUAUAAUUCUGUGAAUAAGGGAUUUGACAUGACCAGUCCAAUCAAACAGGUUCUUCUACCCUGCAGCACAGAAUUUUGGAAUUAAACAGCUUGUCUGUUUCACCCACUGGUUAAGAUUGACUGUUGACAUCAUAUGCUCACCGCAGCUUCUUUUAAAGUCACGCAGACCACAUUAUUUUAACCGGUGCAGUAGCCCUGUCAUUUUAACCAUUCAAUGAAAAACGUUUUGGGUUUUUUCCGAAGCAAACAAACAUACCAUAGCUUAAAGGGACACUCCAAGCACCAAAACAACUUAAACUAAAUUAAGUUGUUAUGGUGCCAGAAGUCCACCGGAGACACUAUGAAAGGUUUAACCUCAAAGUUGCCUCCAACGGCGAUGUCCACUCCCCCAUAGUGGCAUCCGGCUUCUGACUUUUCUGAAGAUUCAUGAAGUGCAGAGUGCAGCUGAUGCUCACAGCUAAUCAGUGAUUCUCAUUCACAAAACUGUCUUUGAAACAAACGUACAUUUUCUAAGCCAGUUUUGUGAAUGGAGUGUCACUGAUUGGCUGAGAGCAGUCAGGUGACACCCUCAGCCAAUCAGAAGCCUGAUGCAGCAUGGGGGUUGGAGUGGACAUCGCCACUGGGGGCUGCUGGCACCAUAACAAUUUAUUUUAGAUUAAGUUGUUUUGGUGCCUAGAGUAUCCUUUUAAAUAAAUGAAAAUAUUAAUUUUGUCAUUAAUACUCACUUACGUAAUGAAGAUUCCAGAUGAAAUGUCCACGUUAAAGGGGGCCACUCCAAGCUAGCACUCACCUCAUACUUGUAAAGAAUUCCUCCGUUUAUGGCUAAAAAAAAAUAAUAAAAAGCACUCACCAGCAUUUGUUUGAGUUAAGAAACAGCUGGCACUGGCCCCAGCAGUCUAUGUAUGUAUUAUCCAGCUUUUGUUGUACAUUCAUUCUGUGAAGGAAAUGCCAGACCCGGUCCAGCAUGUACUAACCACCAGUUUGUGUUGCUAGAUGCACUAUGGAGGUUAUAGGUGUACUACUGAUCAGACUCCUACAGGUGAUACUCGAAAUAUUAGAAUAUCGUGCAAAAGUUCAUUUAUUUCAGUAAUGCAACGUAAAAGGGGAAACUAA
This is a non-coding RNA of Pelobates cultripes (western spadefoot toad), 2874 nucleotides long. The record is from the annotation of a GenBank genome assembly. NCBI's taxonomy places the organism in Eukaryota, Metazoa, Chordata, Amphibia, Anura, Pelobatidae.